AGGAGGACGUGACGAUGACGUGAAGCAUAAACACCACUUAACACCUAUUCCGUGGGUUUCACGGUGAAACUUUCACCCCGUUGCAACGCGUUGUAGCAUGCGUUUUCGGGUUUCAUUUCUUCUGCAAACCAACUUGAAACCAAUACCUGAAAUAACGAAAAAUGCGCAAGGUCAGAUUUAUUCCACGACGCCCAUACCACAGCCCUGAACAGCUGCAACAAAUUUGCAAUUCAAGUAUGCUCAGUAAAUUUAUUUGAUGAUACCAUGGCUCACGUUGUUUGAUGGACACAUACAUUCGUUAUCAACUUUUUACUAUCUGUGCAUACCUUCAUGUUUAAUACGACCACAUAGGGAACGUCCAUAUAUUACGUCAUAAAAAAGGUUGGUGGGUGGUUUUGGGUCGCCUGUCAUAUUCUUGUUAAGCUUAGCAGGAACAGAAUAGGAAGGCGGUGGGUGGAUUAUCUUAAAAUCUUAAAAUCCCUGACGUAAUACAUGGACGUUCCCAUAGAUCGAAUGCUCUUAACAAAUAUUUGCAACACACCGUUAUAUCAUCACUGUAUUCACCUUAACUUGAGAACGCACAAUUCUUAUUAUUUAUCGGUUUAUUAGUGUUUAUUGAAAAAAUGGCAUUUGACAGCCGCCUUUCAAUUUUAUUUUCCUUAUUUCAGGGAAAUAAGGUUUUCCGGGAUGUUCUUGAAAGCAGAAGAUCGACCACUUUUGAAUAUAUUGUUGAUUUAAUAAAAAUUGUUGAAGUUUUUGAUCAGGGCUCCAAUCAAAUUGGAAAGUUGAAAGAGUUUGAUCGUUUGAAAAAAUUUUUGCUUGAGGGGGUUAGCGAAGGUGCAAGAAAUUUUGAUAAAGCAGUCUUCGUAAAGGAACUUCUUUCCAAGGUUUUGUACAUGCCUGCUUGCAUCCAAUAUUGCGAAAACUCCAGAAUUCCCUUUGCGUAUAUCCAUCACGUAAAAUUAAAUCCAGACCCCUUUAACAUUCAAUGCUAAUGAUUUCACACUGAGCGGGAUCGAAUCAAUGCUGACCACGGUGUUUGGACAGGCUGUGACCGCAAGCCGUUUCAGACAUGGAAAUGUCUUCAUCGCCAAUGCAAAUUCCGCCUCGUUCAUCUCCACCCUGGAAAGAUUUAAUUUAAUCAUGGAAUGAAAUCGGAAAGUUUAAUUUUAUCCAGCUGUAAAAACUCGAGGUUUACACAGGAACUAAAAGCCGACACGCUCGACCAAGGAAGCACGCAGUACUUGAGCUUUAUCGUGGUCAGUGUUUUCGCGAAAUUUGGCAAGGUUUGAUAAACGUGGAGAGCCCCGCGUCGUCCUGCGAGGCAAAGAAAUACUUGGGCGUCUUCAAGUGAUGGUUGAUUGGUAGAAUUUGGGGGUAGUUUCCAGGUUGAUAAGGGGUCGCCCUUUUUCUUCGGUUGGUUCAACUUUGUGGUGGACGUGGUGGAGUUAAGUUGAACAUUUUUAGGCUUCACCGGAUUAACGUCGAUGGGCUUGGUCUGAAUUUUUCCAGUAAAGCAGGGGAGUAAAUGCUCGUUCCGACAUUGGCGGAGAAGUAUGAGGAAUAUUUCCAUCUCUAUGUGCACCCUCUUGUCCAAAAGGGCAAGGUAGAGUGUACGCAUUUUAGCGACGGGGUCACGUUCUUGUACCUGCAAGUGAGAAACUGCAAGUAAGAAGUGUGGUCAAUACUUAUCUUAAAAAAAUGGAAAUUUUAAAUUUUAUCUUUUACCAAAUUUUCAUAGUGAAGGUGGUCGCGGAGUAUGCCAUUUUCUACGAGUAGGUUAAAAAACCAUUGGAAAUUUUUUGUAGAUUGAGACAAAUAAUCGAUUUUCUUGAGGAUUUGUUGUUUUAAAAAAUCCAUUUCGUUAAAUCAGAUUUAAAGUGGAUGUUUUUAAUUGUAAUAUGUCAUCUUUAUGCAGGAAUAUGUAUGUAUACUUUAUUAAAGUAAGUGAAAUUGUUUAUGGUUAAGUUAAUAUUGGUUGCAAUAUUUCACUCGGGUAAUAAUCACUAUUGAUAAGAUAACUAACAAAGGGGGCGCAAACCAUGUUCAACCCAGAUUAUUUUUUGUCUAUCGCUGUUUGAAAGAGAAAUCCUUGAGAAACAACAUUUAAGUAGUUCGACAUUUGCUCAGAUGCGCAAAAUUCAGAAUGUUAGCCUAACACUGUUAGGGACGCUGCAAGGCAGAGGUGCAAUCGCGAGGUACAGAUUCCAUUUGAAACCCCAUCGUCUUCGCAAACUUGCGGUGCCCGUAACGCGCUGAAUUUUGCGCAUCUGCACACGUGUCGCAGUAAAUGUUUUUUCUAAAUGGUUUUUCUUUCAAAAGAAGAUAGUUAAAAAAUAAUCUGGGUUGAACAUGGUUGAGCCCCCUUUGUAAGAUAAUAAUUGACAAGUUUUGAUAUGCAGAUACUUCCUACCGAUAAAGGUUACUUGGCAAAUAAAAACAUAAAUGGACAGUUU
Long non-coding RNA from Folsomia candida, 2456 nucleotides. RefSeq lists it as uncharacterized. The transcript has 2 exons. The record is from RefSeq and is a predicted model, not a curated record. NCBI's taxonomy places the organism in Eukaryota, Metazoa, Arthropoda, Collembola, Entomobryomorpha, Isotomidae.